Molecule: ribosomal RNA, 472 nt
Filed under: Paenibacillus glucanolyticus
Lineage: Bacteria; Bacillati; Bacillota; Bacilli; Caryophanales; Paenibacillaceae
Description: bacterial SSU rRNA
Rfam family: Bacterial small subunit ribosomal RNA
Source: RNAcentral
AUACAUGCAGUCGAGCGGACUUGAAGGAGUGCUUGCACUCCUGAGAGUUAGCGGCGGACGGGUGAGUAACACGUAGGCAACCUGCCCUCAAGACUGGGAUAACUACCGGAAACGGUAGCUAAUACCGGAUAAUUUAUUACAUAGCAUUAUGUGAUAAUGAAAGACGGAGCAAUCUGUCACUUGGGGAUGGGCCUGCGGCGCAUUAGCUAGUUGGUGGGGUAACGGCCCACCAAGGCGACGAUGCGUAGCCGACCUGAGAGGGUGAACGGCCACACUGGGACUGAGACACGGCCCAGACUCCUACGGGAGGCAGCAGUAGGGAAUCUUCCGCAAUGGGCGAAAGCCUGACGGAGCAACGCCGCGUGAGUGAUGAAGGUUUUCGGAUCGUAAAGCUCUGUUGCCAAGGAAGAACGUCUCAUAGAGUAACUGCUAUGAGAGUGACGGUACUUGAGAAGAAAGCCCCGGCUAACUA